Molecule: ribosomal RNA, 253 nt
Filed under: uncultured bacterium
Lineage: Bacteria
Description: partial 16S ribosomal RNA
Rfam family: Bacterial small subunit ribosomal RNA
Source: RNAcentral
UACGAAGGGUGCAAACGUUGCUCGGAAUCAUUGGGCGUAAAGCGCACGUAGGCGGCAUUCUAAGUCGGAUGUGAAAUCCCUCGGCUCAACCGAGGACGUGCAUCCGAAACUGGAACGCUCGAGUAUGGAAGAGGGUCGCGGAAUUCUCGGUGUAGAGGUGAAAUUCGUAGAGAUCGGGAGGAACACCAGUGGCGAAGGCGCCUAUCUGGCUGACAACUGACGCUGAGACUCGAAAGCAUGGGGAGCAAACAGG